CAAUAUAGUGGCAGAUGCCCUAAGUAUAUUGUUUAUGGGUAGUGUUGCUCAUGUUGAGGAUGGUAAGAAGAAGUUCAUUAAGAAAGUUCAACAACACGCCAGAUUUGGUGUUCGUUUGGUUGAUUCCGCAGAGGGUAGCGUGUAAUUCCCCAUACUUUUCUUAGCUCAGUUUAGCUCCUAGUGUGUCAAGUCUUAACUUCAUAAACUUAUAACUCUUGA
RNAcentral lists this long non-coding RNA (219 nucleotides) under Capsicum annuum. Its description in RNAcentral is "long non-coding RNA (CANN_LNC016245)". The record is from RNAcentral. Lineage: Eukaryota; Viridiplantae; Streptophyta; Magnoliopsida; Solanales; Solanaceae.